RNAcentral lists this ribosomal RNA (466 nucleotides) under uncultured bacterium. RNAcentral describes it as "bacterial SSU rRNA". It matches the Rfam family "Bacterial small subunit ribosomal RNA", at positions 330 to 792 of the family's 1533-position model. The record is from RNAcentral.
UCCAGACUCCUACGGGAGGCAGCAGUGAGGAAUAUUGGUCAAUGGGCGGGAGCCUGAACCAGCCAAGUCGCGUGAGGGAAGACGGUCCUACGGAUUGUAAACCUCUUUUGCCGGGGAGCAACGGGGUCCUUGCGAGGGCCCGAUGAGAGUACCCGGAGAAAAAGCAUCGGCUAACUACGUGCCAGCAGCCGCGGUAAUACGUAGGGGGCAAGCGUUAUCCGGAUUUACUGGGUGUAAAGGGUGCGCAGGUGGCAGGGCAAGUCAGAUGUGAAAGCCCGGGGCUCAACCCCGGUAUUGCAUUUGAAACUGUCCGGCUAGAGUGCAGGAGAGGUAAGCGGAAUUCCUAGUGUAGCGGUGAAAUGCGUAGAUAUUAGGAGGAACACCAGUGGCGAAGGCGGCUUACUGGACUGUAACUGACACUGAGGCACGAAAGCGUGGGGAGCAAACAGGAUUAGAUCCCCGUGUA